RNAcentral lists this unclassified non-coding RNA (297 nucleotides) under uncultured fungus. RNAcentral describes it as "sequence contains ITS1, 5.8S rRNA gene". The stretch from base 249 to 297 matches the Rfam family "5.8S ribosomal RNA", at positions 1 to 49 of the family's 154-position model. The record is from RNAcentral. Lineage: Eukaryota; Fungi.
UUUCCGUAGGUGAACCUGCGGAAGGAUCAUUAUCGAGUUCUGAUAAUUCAUUAUCAAACUUCAUCCUAUGUUUACAUACUUUGUAUACUUUGGCAAGACGCUUUGACUUGUAGUUGGAGUUUGACACUAGUUGAGCGACGCCACAAGAAAAAGCCACUGACGUUUCUUUAAAGAACUGUGAGUGUGUUUGCUUGCCAAAGGUCUUAACUCUUUUAUACUGUUGUCUGAGUACUACAAAAAUAAAUUAAAACUUUCAACAACGGAUCUCUUGGUUCUGGCAUCGAUGAAGAACGCAGC